UACGUAGGGUGCGAGCGUUAAUCGGAAUUACUGGGCGUAAAGCGUGCGCAGGCGGUUCGUUAAGUUCGUUGUGAAAGCCCCGGGCUCAACCUGGGAACUGCAAUGGAAACUGGCGGGCUUGAAUGCGGCAGAGGGGGGUGGAAUUCCGCGUGUAGCAGUGAAAUGCGUAGAGAUCAUGAGGAAGACCAGUGGCGAAGGCGGGUCUCUGGACAGUUCCUGACACUGAGACACGAAGGCCAGGGGAGCAAACGGG
This 253-nucleotide ribosomal RNA is filed under the name uncultured bacterium. RNAcentral's name for it is "partial 16S ribosomal RNA". It matches the Rfam family "Bacterial small subunit ribosomal RNA", at positions 524 to 776 of the family's 1533-position model. The record is from RNAcentral.